This 42-nucleotide non-coding RNA is filed under the name Schistosoma mansoni. The record is from RNAcentral. Lineage: Eukaryota; Metazoa; Platyhelminthes; Trematoda; Strigeidida; Schistosomatidae.
AAGAUGAUGAGUCCCAAACAGGACGAAAUGCGUAUCCUGGAU